Molecule: transfer RNA, 74 nt
Filed under: Bacteriophage sp.
Description: tRNA-Met
Rfam family: tRNA
About the family: Transfer RNA (tRNA) molecules are approximately 80 nucleotides in length. Their secondary structure includes four short double-helical elements and three loops (D, anti-codon, and T loops). Further hydrogen bonds mediate the characteristic L-shaped molecular structure. tRNAs have two regions of fundamental functional importance: the anti-codon, which is responsible for specific mRNA codon recognition, and the 3' end, to which the tRNAs corresponding amino acid is attached (by aminoacyl-tRNA synthetases). tRNAs cope with the degeneracy of the genetic code in two manners: having more than one tRNA (with a specific anti-codon) for a particular amino acid; and 'wobble' base-pairing, i.e. permitting non-standard base-pairing at the 3rd anti-codon position.
Source: RNAcentral
GGGCCCAUAUCUCAGUUGGUUAGAGAAGCUGACUCAUAAUCAGAAGGUCGUCAGUUCAAGCCUGGCUGGGCCCA